AUUGAACGCUGGCGGCAUGCCUUACACAUGCAAGUCGAACGGUAACAGGUCUUCGGAUGCUGACGAGUGGCGAACGGGUGAGUAAUACAUCGGAACAUGCCUAGUAGUGGGGGAUAACUACUCGAAAGAGUGGCUAAUACCGCAUGAGAUCUAUGGAUGAAAGCAGGGGAUCGCAAGACCUUGUGCUACUAGAGCGGCCGAUGGCAGAUUAGGUAGUUGGUGGGAUAAAAGCUUACCAAGCCGACGAUCUGUAGCUGGUCUGAGAGGACGAUCAGCCACACUGGGACUGAGACACGGCCCAGACUCCUACGGGAGGCAGCAGUGGGGAAUUUUGGACAAUGGGCGCAAGCCUGAUCCAGCAAUGCCGCGUGCAGGAUGAAGGCCUUCGGGUUGUAAACUGCUUUUGUACGGAACGAAAAGCCCCGGGUUAAUACCCUGGGGUCAUGACGGUACCGUAAGAAUAAGCACCGGCUAACUACGUGCCAGCAGCCGCCGUAA
This 498-nucleotide ribosomal RNA is filed under the name uncultured bacterium. RNAcentral describes it as "partial 16S ribosomal RNA". It matches the Rfam family "Bacterial small subunit ribosomal RNA", at positions 30 to 523 of the family's 1533-position model. The record is from RNAcentral.